Cinara cedri is the source of this 718-nucleotide non-coding RNA. Lineage: Eukaryota; Metazoa; Arthropoda; Insecta; Hemiptera; Aphididae. The record is from the annotation of a GenBank genome assembly.
GAACUAAAUGCAAUAUCUUUAUUUAUUUUAUAGUUUCUCGAAAUGAAUUGUACACUAACCUGUUCCGUCCUACGUGCUAAUUUAAUUAACUCCGGUAUCCGGUGUAACCGCGGUUAUAUCCAUAGACUUAUAAAGUCUAGACGGAAUAUCCACCCCGAGAACUGGGAGGCGUGGUCGGCUCGAAUAGAUUAAUAGUGAUUGAUACUGAUAUAAAGCCUAGUGUGAGAGAGAGCAAAUUUACACUCUGAAGACAGCCAAUUAAAUACUCCGUUUAUUAUCUCACGUAGUUAUGUGUUUUUGUCCUCGAAAUGAAACUACAUUCACCGAAAAGCGUUUUCAUGCUGAAUGAUCCGUCACACAGAUAAGUCUAUGGAUAUAGGUAGGUCCUAUAUCCAAUAGGUUUUCCAAUCGAUCUUUGAUGGUAGAGUGUUUAUAAUUUUAUUAGCGGGAUAAAUACGUUCAGCGGAGGAAAACAUUUUUCGAACACGAAUAAUAUAAAAUUGCCUUGAUUGGGCAUCUUCGCAUCUAAAACUUUUUGUAUUGUACUAUAUGUUAGAAUCCAUGUUCAAUAUCAAAAAUGAUUUUAUUUUUAUUUUUAGCGAAAAUAGAUACGCGAUUGUUUUGCAGAAUUGUCUAUGAAUUGUGAUAUUUAGAUCUUCUUGACUGUUGACCGAGUUUUGAAUUAAAUUACGAAUUCGGAUAUUUUUCAUUUAAUAUU